This is a long non-coding RNA of Mytilus trossulus (common blue mussel), 223 nucleotides long. RefSeq lists it as uncharacterized. The transcript is spliced from 3 exons. The record is from RefSeq and is a predicted model, not a curated record. Lineage: Eukaryota; Metazoa; Mollusca; Bivalvia; Mytilida; Mytilidae.
CAGUUGUUGCGAAAUAACUAUCUUUAAUCGUAUAUAAAGAUUAAGAAGGAUUGAAACUGCAUCAACGUUUCAAGGAUACAGACAUCCAACAGCUUUUUCACUUCUUUACCAGACACAUCAAUGGACUGCCUGUCUGCCUUAACUGUGAUUGUUUGUCUUUUAUUUACUAGUUUUGUCAUGCAAGGAGCGUGUGCCAACGAUUGUAUUCCACCAAAAAUAGUGU